This 253-nucleotide ribosomal RNA is filed under the name uncultured bacterium. Its description in RNAcentral is "partial 16S ribosomal RNA". It matches the Rfam family "Bacterial small subunit ribosomal RNA", at positions 524 to 776 of the family's 1533-position model. The record is from RNAcentral.
UACGGAGGGGGCUAGCGUUGUUCGGAAUUACUGGGCGUAAAGCGCGCGUAGGCGGACCUGCAAGUCGGGGGUGAAAGCCCGAGGCUCAACCUCGGAACUGCCUUCGAUACUGCGGGUCUCGAGUCCGGGAGAGGUGAGUGGAAUUCCUAGUGUAGAGGUGAAAUUCGUAGAUAUUAGGAAGAACACCAGUGGCGAAGGCGGCUCACUGGAUUGGUAUUGACGCUGAGGUGCGAAAGCGUGGGGAGCAAACAGG